CCGUCGUUCUUAUCUUCUCCCAGCCGCUCUUCCCUAUCCCCUCCGCGCGAUCCUCCCCUGCUCCCUGAUUUCUCCAGCCCGUGGAGCUUUUGCUAUGCGCUCCCUCCCUGCUCCGGUCUUCUCCAUAGCCGAGCGCCCGACGUUCUCCCUGGUGCUCGCCCAAGUCACCGUUGCAGCUCCAGCUCGGAUUCCCCUUCCCAUGGCGGCGCCCACCUCCCUGUGCUCCCUGUUCCAGCUCGUCGGGGAUGCCCCUUCCAGCCGUGUUCUGCUUCUCUCCCUGCGCCCCUAUUCAUCUCCUGCGCGCCUUGGUUUUGGUCCCAAGCUCCAUGGCCGCCGCGCUGCAGCUCUCUGGUGCUCGGUCGCCAAGUCUCCCUGCUCUAUGUGUUCUUCUUCCUCCCUGGCUCCUGCUCGUCCAACGACGCCGUCGGCCGGACCUCUCUGCUUCUCCUGCGCCCGCGUCGUGGCUCUCCACUGCGCGUAGUGGUGCUUCAGUUCUGCUCUGUCCAUUUUCCUGUGCCGCGCCACUGCAGCUCGCCUCGGCUCCUCGCCUCAUCCAUGGUCGAGCGCCCUCUGCCCAGCCUGUCGAAGCUCCUCUGCCGGCUGCAAGCUUCUGCUCAAGCUUGCUCUCGGCGCUCGCCCCUGAUUUCUGCGCUCAGCUCCACCGCGACGUGAAGUCCCUGCGCGCAAGCUAUCUGUUGGCCGCGCGCGAACUCCUCUGCUUGGCCCGUCGUCGUUCUCCAGCGCACUCGAUGGUUUCGUCGUCUCGUCUUGACGUCAGUCUCUACGUGACAUCUCUGACGUGGGUUCACGCCGACAAAAGAAUCCCAAGAAGAUAUAGAGAAGCAAGCCUUUGAUCAAUGUUCAAGUGGUCGGCGAAAGGCCAGAACAAGAAUCAUCACCGUUUAUACGGAGUUCUACUUAAUAUGAAAAGAUUCCAAGAAUUGUGGAUAGAAGAGAAAGUGAAGCUUCGUGCUAUACUCGUCAGCUGCUCGAUCGAAGACUUCAAUCGAAGACUAUCGUCGUUCCCGCCAACACUGAAUCAAGUUGAUAACGGUGAGCCAAAUCACUAUUUUUACUAUGGAUUUUAUGAUCGUGAAAUAAGACGCUU
Molecule: unclassified non-coding RNA, 1108 nt
Filed under: Zea mays
Lineage: Eukaryota; Viridiplantae; Streptophyta; Magnoliopsida; Poales; Poaceae
Description: misc RNA Zm00001eb191960
Source: RNAcentral